Molecule: long non-coding RNA, 1656 nt
Filed under: Gallus gallus (chicken)
Lineage: Eukaryota; Metazoa; Chordata; Aves; Galliformes; Phasianidae
Description: lncRNA (ENSGALG00010018696.1)
Source: RNAcentral
UCAGGUUCUGAUUUAGCAAAAUGCUUAAGCCCGUGGGGAUUGUUUAAGCAUAGGCUUAAAGCCAUUGCAUGGUGUGUUAUAAGCUAUGGGUCUGCAGUUAAUGCCAGACUGACUCUGUAUCACCCCUUCAGAUAUAUUGGAGCUGGGUAGGAUGGGGACACAGUCAAAUUUCUGCCAAACUCACUUGAACGUGUGGUACAGCUCCUGUGUCACCUUUAUGCAGGAGGGCAAACAGCAGGAGAUCGAACGUAACAUCUGGACAUUGGGAGGGUGAGUUGUUACAAGAUCAGUGCUUGGCGCAGGGUGGCUGUGGCACUUUCCAUAUGUCACAAGUAGCCCUACGGCCAGAUUUACUCUAUCUUUGAACCGUGGCUUUAAAUGGCUGCUUAAACUUUCUCCCAAAGCUUGGGUUGCCUUGGUUACAGUCCAAUCCUUAUGCACAUCCCCAAGGCUAACACUACGGUUUUAUGAAUGUGAUGGUUUUAUUGUCACUUAUUUUAAUUAUUGCCUGAGCGUUGCUUUUAAAAACAGAAAGCAACACCAUUGCUUUAGCUUAUCAGAUAAUGCACCUUUAAUUUUGUUGGGUUUUUAAAAUAUUUUAAUUCUUGGAUUUUUAUCACAACUGCAAAACACUUGGGUAAUGACUUAAUCAUGGAGGUGUGAGAGCAGGAAAGUAUUCAUCAGAAUGGACUCUCUAUAAGGUGUUCAGCCUGAUGGCAGGAGCAAGACUUCCGUGGGAUAUGGGACUUACAUUGAUUUCCUGCCUGUCAGCAAAGUGUGCCUGAGAAGAAUGAGGAAAAGUUGUCUUUUGAAGAACUGGUGGUGGUUGAAGGGAAUAUGCAACAAGUCAUGCUGAAAUCUCUUUGAACCUGCUCCAGCUCCUUCCAUGCCGUGGUCAGUAAAGCCUAGCCUAGGUCUGAUAAAUGCUGGUUUUAGGGUAUCGUUGCUUUUGAUUUUGAGGUAGUCCAGCAGAUGAGGGAUAACAGGACCCCAGGAAAGGUCCAGAGAAGGUUUACAGUUGCCUUUCUUUGGUAACCAUGGUAGACACUUAGUGCCUUGGGUGAACAGCUCAGAAAGGAAUUGAGUUUUGAACUGUUUUGUUAUUGAUAUCUGAUUUCUGCAGUUGGUUCAUCACGUUGAUUUGAUAUUUGUUCACAGAGCUGCGUUGCCUACACUUGACAUACAUUUCAGUCCUGGAAGUCAGAGCUAGCAGAGAUAUAGGGUAGAAUCUCAUGGUGGUGGAAUUCUCAGUAGAAAACACUAGUGGUGGUAAUAGAGGGUAUGUUACCAAAGGAUGGCAGGAACUACUCAGUGCUAUCUGGAGGUUGGUAAUGUGCCAUUGAGGAAGCCGGAGAACACUAUUUCCAGUUUAAGCUGGUCUCAAUUUUUACACUAAAUUAUGUGAUGUUGGAAGGGCCUUCUUUUUAAUGAGAAAUUCUCUCUUUGCAGUGUUACCCACAACAGUAUUUCUUACUGUUAUAAUUAAAACCAUAUUGAAUUUUUAUCUCAAUAGAUUUCAGAAUUGUUGACAAAUAUUUUUAUUUCUCAAAAAUCUUUGUCUCCUUUCCCAAUUCUUUUUUCCUUCUUGGGUUUCUUCUGCUGGUCCAUUAAAGUUCCUGUGAUGAUUUUGAAAACUUUUUUGGAUAAAAAUUCAUU